GUGGCGGACGGGUGAGUAAUGUCUGGGGAUCUGCCCGAUAGAGGGGGAUAACCACUGGAAACGGUGGCUAAUACCGCAUAACGUCGCAAGACCAAAGAGGGGGACCUUCGGGCCUCUCACUAUCGGAUGAACCCAGAUGGGAUUAGCUAGUAGGCGGGGUAAUGGCCCACCUAGGCGACGAUCCCUAGCUGGUYUGAGAGGAUGACCAGCCACACUGGAACUGAGACACGGUCCAGACUCCUACGGGAGGCAGCAGUGGGGAAUAUUGCACAAUGGGCGCAAGCCUGAUGCAGCCMUGCCGCGUGUAUGAAGAAGGCYUUCGGGUUGUAAAGUACUUUCAGCGGGGAGGAA
RNAcentral lists this ribosomal RNA (351 nucleotides) under Pantoea sp. R-46301. RNAcentral's name for it is "bacterial SSU rRNA". It matches the Rfam family "Bacterial small subunit ribosomal RNA", at positions 95 to 449 of the family's 1533-position model. The record is from RNAcentral. Lineage: Bacteria; Pseudomonadati; Pseudomonadota; Gammaproteobacteria; Enterobacterales; Erwiniaceae.